GACGAACGCUGGCGGCGUGCUUAACACAUGCAAGUCGAACGGUGAAAGCGGAGCUUGCUCCGCUGGAUCAGUGGCGAACGGGUGAGUAACACGUGGGCAACCCGCCCCUCACUUCGGGAUAACGCCGGGAAACCGGGGCUAAUACCGGAUAUGACCUCCUUGGGCAUCCUUGGAGGUGGAAAGUUUUUCGGUGAGGGAUGGGCCCGCGGCCUAUCAGCUUGUUGGUGAGGUAGUGGCUCACCAAGGCGACGACGGGUAGCCGGCCUGAGAGGGCGACCGGCCACACUGGGACUGAGACACGGCCCAGACUCCUACGGGAGGCAGCAGUGGGGAAUAUUGCGCAAUGGGCGAAAGCCUGACGCAGCAACGCCGCGUGCGGGAUGACGGCCUUCGGGUUGUAAACCGCUUUCAGCAGGGAAGAAGCCGCAAGGUGACGGUACCUGCAGAAGAAGCACCGGCUAACUACGUGCCAGCAGCCGCGGUAA
RNAcentral lists this ribosomal RNA (485 nucleotides) under uncultured bacterium. Its description in RNAcentral is "partial 16S ribosomal RNA". It matches the Rfam family "Bacterial small subunit ribosomal RNA", at positions 28 to 523 of the family's 1533-position model. The record is from RNAcentral.